This 501-nucleotide long non-coding RNA is filed under the name Lepisosteus oculatus (spotted gar). Its description in RNAcentral is "lncRNA (ENSLOCG00000022002.1)". Lineage: Eukaryota; Metazoa; Chordata; Actinopteri; Semionotiformes; Lepisosteidae. The record is from RNAcentral.
CACAAUUACAGGUCAUACCUACCUGGUGUGAGAGCGACCUGCUGUAUGAAAAAACCCUUCAGGAGACCCAGUGCAUGGAGCUGUCCUGUGGAUUUGACAAUAGGCAAACUGGGCUUCGCUAUCCACGGAGAACUGACCUCAAACAGCGGACGGACUCAUGCAGAUUGAGCUCAGAGAUCCCGACGACAUUAGUUUGACCUGGGUCGUGUCACUAGCCGACCAUGACUUGGACUCUCUAGGUAGCGAUGCACAAUGAUCCGAGCACCACUGGGACAGGGCUGAGAGUCGUCCACCAGGGGUCUCCAGCAUUCCGGCAAACAGUGACCCCAGUGACCUCUCAGUGAAGACUGCAGGAGUGCAGGAGCUGCUACUGCACAAAUGAGCCUUAAACGCAACAAUUUGCAAUUUCAAACUGGGUGGAUAUAAAAAAUAAAGCUAACACAGACAACCAACAUAAAUUGUAAACUGUAUGUACAGCCUCAUUUUAGUAAAGAAAAUCCC